This 402-nucleotide unclassified non-coding RNA is filed under the name soil metagenome. RNAcentral describes it as "partial contains 5.8S ribosomal RNA, internal transcribed spacer 2, and large subunit ribosomal RNA". The stretch from base 1 to 121 matches the Rfam family "5.8S ribosomal RNA", at positions 35 to 154 of the family's 154-position model. The record is from RNAcentral.
GAUGAAGAACGUAGCGAAAUGCGAUAAGUAAUGUGAAUUGCAGAAUUCAGUGAAUCAUCGAAUCUUUGAACGCACCUUGCGCCCUUUGGCUAUUCCGAAGGGCAUGCCUGUUUGAGUAUCGUGAACACCUCAACUCUCAUGGUUUGCCAUGAUGAGCUUGGACUUUGGGGGUUUUGCUGGCCUUUGGUCGGCUCCUCUCAAACGGAUCAGCUUUCCAGUGUUUGGUGGCGUCACGGGUGUGAUAACUAUCUACGCCUGUGGUUUUCUGCCAGAUAACCUUCAGCGAUGGAGGUUCGCUGGGGCUCAUAAAUGUCUCUCUUCAGUGGAGACAGCUUUUUGGACGUUUGAUCUCAAAUCAGCUAGGACUACCCGCUGAACUUAAGCAUAUCAAUAAGCGGAGGA